CCAUCGGUUAGUACAAUAGUCUUACAGUACAUGCUACAGCUAUCUGCAAUACUGGCAGUGCCUUCUCCUACCUUACAUAGAAAUCUCUUUAUUUCACUGCAGAGAUAUCAAGCCAGAUAACAUCAUGCUUGACAAGGAUGGUCAUAUUAAGAUCAUUGACUUUGGCCUCGCUGUGGAUGGAAUGAAUGGAGAUAAAGUAGUCAGUGACCGCACGGGGACUUUUGAAUACAUGGCCCCAGAGGUUCUCCAAGAAAAACCCUACGGGAAGGAAGUGGAUUGGUGGUCACUAGGAGUAACACUCACUGGGAUGGCUACAGGAAGGCAUCCAUUCUAUAAUGGGCCACAUAAACAGCUCUUGUAUAAGGCUGUUCUAAAGGAGAAGCCCACAUUCCCAACAUGGCUAGAGCCAGACGCAAAACAUUUUCUGAAGCAGCUACUGAGAAAGAGGCCGCAAAAACGCCUCGGGGUGUCACAUGACAUACGGGAGCACCCCUUCCUGAAGGACAUCGACUGGGCAGAGAUAGAAAGCAGAAGAGUAAGACCACCAUUCCUGCCAUUUAUGCACGUUCCAGAGCUCCAGGAACAUCCUAGUUUGGAGCUGAAACUGGAAGAUAGCAUGGCAGCUGACCCUAUACCAGGAUUUUCCUUUAUUGGAGACACAGUAAGAUAGACUUCAUAAAUUCCUUCAUGAUUUUGGGCACUCCCAAUUAUUGCAGAAAUAUCAAUGUGACGUAUAAGCCAGAAGAAAUAUGGCAAGGUUUUUUAUCUUAGCUGUAUGUCCGAAUACACAUCUGUGCAGGCACAGACAAAGGCUGUGUUUUCCAAUCUCAUCUACCUAGGCACCUGAUCCGCACAGGAAUAGGACAGCCAUCAGCCAGAACACAGAUUUCUCCAUCUCCACCAAACAUCAGCCUGGCCAAGUCUACUGAGGCCUCUUGGGAUAGCCAUCUCCCAAAACAACAUCUCCCUCUGUCUUCUGAAGCAUUAUCUUAAAAAAGAAUUAUAAAAAAAAUAUA
Pseudophryne corroboree (corroboree frog) is the source of this 1016-nucleotide RNA transcript. It is a transcript of the gene named protein kinase C delta type-like, with no coding region annotated. The transcript is spliced from 5 exons. NCBI's taxonomy places the organism in Eukaryota, Metazoa, Chordata, Amphibia, Anura, Myobatrachidae. The record is from RefSeq and is a predicted model, not a curated record.